RNAcentral lists this ribosomal RNA (267 nucleotides) under uncultured bacterium. Its description in RNAcentral is "partial 16S ribosomal RNA". It matches the Rfam family "Bacterial small subunit ribosomal RNA", at positions 94 to 353 of the family's 1533-position model. The record is from RNAcentral.
AGUGGCGGACGGGUGAGUAACACGUGAGCAACCUGCCUUUCAGAGGGGGGAGUAAACGUUUUGUAAAAGAACGCUAAUACCGCAUAAAGUAUCAUUUCCACAUGGAGGAGAUACCAAAGGAGUAAUCCGCUGAAAGAUGGGCUCGCGUCCGAUUAGCUAGUUGGUAGGGUAACGGCCUACCAAGGCGACGAUCGGUAGCCGGACUGAGAGGUUGAACGGCCACAUUGGGACUGAGACACGGCCCAGACUCCUACGGGAGGCAGCAUG